GCAGGCAGAGCUGGGUUGCAGCCGAGCUGCUCACAGCCUCACCCGCACCCAGGGAACGCAACUUGCUGGGCCCAAAACAGAAAGUGCAAAGGCGUGCACAUGUUUAGGGGAGCCCUCUAACAGUUUGUGCAGGGGGUUUCUUUAAGCAUAUCAACGAUUUGGAGUUUUCGCUUCAGUGUGUCAUUAUGUUCUUUAAUGAAACUACUGGCAAUGAGGUAGUCUUCUUUUUUCUUUUUUUUUUUUCCCCAGUUUGGUUUGAAUUUCUAAAAAGCAUAAUUUCAGCAAUUUUUCUCUGUUCUUACAUGCACACACAGAAAUUGCUUUAGACAGGAAGAAAUUGCUUUAGACAGGAAGAAUUUUCUAAAUCGAGUUAGACUUGAAUCAAGUAAAUGAAAAACCUAUUUUUAAAAAGCACUGUGGUACUUUGCAUUCUUAAAAAAAUUCUUGUAUUCCCAAUUGUUUUUCAGUAAACUUUCAUCGGUCUGUUUAAAGUUCUGCAAGUGUGAAUAUUCAUAUUUCAAACAUCUGGCUUGCAAAUCGAGCAUUUCAGAAGUACUAUAUCCUCACUUACUACAGAAUUGUCAGUAAAACUUCAGCAACAACCAACUCCUUUCCUCGCCAAGGACCAUUUCUGCUUUACUCACACAAAUAAGCUUUUUUUCCAUUUACUGAAAUGGGAGCAAAAUCCAUUCUGAGAUAGUGGCCCCCUGGUUUAAUCCAUGACAAGGGACAAACAAAUAGACCCUUUGAAAUGAGUUUCAUCUUUUGUGUCCCAUUUGUUGUCUGAAGCAGGUGUCAAUUGGAUCUUUUCCUGUCUGUCUGUGGUUGAAAAGCACCAUGUUGUAGUUAAACCCACUUGUAAAUUGUAGCAUUUUACAGACUAACUCCCCCAGGGAUCUACUAAAAAGCUACUUGAGGUUCUUGAGGUUAAGUACCAGAAGUCAAAAAAGGGUUAAUUUGCCCCCCCACCCCCCCUUCAUUUCUCAUUCUGUUUCAAGUUGUUUCUUGUUUAAAAAAGAUCUCUCUAUUGUCUCCAUAUACAGUAAAAACACUCUUCACACACAAGGGUCUGAUCCUGCUUGCACUGAAGUCCAUUUAUUUGUAAAUCAUUGAAAAGUAUUUCUUUUUACAGUAGGCCCAGCCACAAUUUUCCUAUUUUCUUGAGCCAAUAAUCUUAUCAACCACCUGCUUUAAGGCUGAUGAGUGCUAGGGACAACCUCAGCUGUUUUUAACCUUGUGAAGAGGCAACUCUGGAACUAAACUGGCAAGAGGCUGGCCCAAACACCCUGCCAUUUGACCAGACUGGUGGACUGUCCAGAAAAAAAGACACCACUAGUAGCUUCAAUAGCAGCAACAAGCUCCCACACCCCACGUUUUAAAAGAAUGAUAUUAUCUAUAAGAAGAUGCACAGGAAAGGUAUAAAUGAUUAUGUGAUAUAGGUGCAUAAAAUUAAUUAUUAUAGCCAGUGUGAUGGAAAGAUAAAGGCUGAGCUUGAUCAGAUGGGGCUGUGUUGUUACUCAGUGGCACUUGCCCCUCUUUUGUUUCAGUGUUUCUAAAGCUUCCCAUAGGAUUUGUGUCAGGUUGCACCACCUCCUGAAGCCAAUUCUGACUGUAUGAAGAUGUCAUCAAUAAAUAGAGAAGAAAAAUCCCAGUUGUUGAUUAGCAGAAAAUAACUGCCUCAGGCAGCAAUGUGGAGCUCCAGGUAGUGCUUUUUCCAUGCUGUUUUGUUUCAAAUUUGCUGUUGUCUUCAGGGUACCAGAAGAGUGAAAAUCUUCUACAGACAGGUCAGCUGCCUUGAAUAAACACGUGCUUUGAUCUUUAGCGAUUUUCUGUCAUGUGUACCCAAGUGUUGCACAUUCAAACUCUUCUCCCUCCCUCCCUUUCUCACAAGUGCUGAGCACUGCUGUAAACCCACCACAGCCGGGUGAAGAGGAGCAUCCAGCCAGCCCAGCCCUGUGUACCCGGUCAGUCACAGCACUUUCUCCAAAACCUCUGUCUCUGGCAGGACCAGGAGAGAUGUUUGUGUGGUUUCCCCAGAACCUGGUGGCUGUGCUUUCUCCUCAGAACUCGCUGGCAUGCUCCAGGCAUCAGGUCUGCUGCAAAGGCUCUCUGGGCACCUUUCUGCAGCUUCUCUCUGUGCUCUGACCAUCCCAUCCAGAUCCACUGGGACUUUACCAUCCCACCAUGGACAGUAGGUGAAGCUGUUGCUGUCCAAACUGGGCUUGAGAGAACCGGCAAUGUGCACAUUUGUUUGCCAGACAGUGUGCUUGAAUUUGGGUAGCAGAGAACAUUUUUCUUGGAUUUAAAUACUUUAGAUGAGAGGCCCCGGAUACUCUGUUUUCUUUCUCUGAUGCUUUCUUUGACAUAAUAUCAUCCUCUUUAAAGGCACAUUUCAAAUUAUUCCUGUCCUUUACUAGCUGGGACAUUCCCCAGGGAGUCUAUCACUAUUUAGUGUUAUGAUUACCAUUGUAGGUGCUAGGGUAUGGCAAACGUGGGCACCGGUAUGUUAAAAGCUGCACCGAGGGAGGACACAAAAAACCAGCCUACACUUCAGCACUGGUGGAAGGAGCAUCUAAUCCAACUGCCCACCCUUAGUGCAGCAGAAAUUAAUCUGGGACCUCAGCAACUUAAUAAAAAAAAAGUGAGCGAAGGGACACGUGCUAGUUUAAGUUAUUUCCUUCACCUGCAGUAAUAACUAUGAGCCUAUUCUCGCCGUUUCCUUAGAGCAUGCCAAAUGGCUGGGCAACAGAGGUGCCUUCACUGAGCGUGUUGUCACAGUCCCUACAGAAGCAAGAUUUACUUCCUGUAAGAGCUUUUUUUCCCUACAUCUCAGCAAAUGUACAUGUUUUAAAAGACUGUUGGAGAUCCUUCAGACAUCUCUGCAGGGAAUACAGCAUUUGUCAUCGUGCUCAGAUUUGGGUUACCACUGGGCUUCGGAGAAAGAGGUGAAUGGCAGGGAAAAACCUGCCCUUGCUGUCCACGUUUCUGCACCUUUGUGGAAUAAAGCCCCUCUGUAAUGACAGGACUGUGGCAUUUUUCCACUUGCUUCAGUACAUGGUGCGGCGUAUUUAUCUGGAAGCAUUCGCUGGAGAUUCUGUUAUGCAAGAUAAAAGGACAUUUAUCACUAAUACUACCUAGCUCCUAAAGCACUGGCUCAAAACUGAGCUGAGAAACCUCAGUGUAAAUUCAACACUCUAGUAUUACAGGCAUUUAUGCAGGUUUCAAAACAAAUGGUUUAUUCAUGCGGCACUGUUUUGACUUGACAAAGCACUGCACAAAGAUGCUAGGAAAUCCAGAGCAUUGGCUAUCAAAUAGAGGAACCGAUUUAGUAAGAACAAUAAAAUAAAGCCCCUAUCCAGAAGGCAUAACUAGACUACGGAGUUCCUUACCUGUGCCAGGGUAGCACGCACUAGCAGGAGUCUGAGUCACCUUGCACAGGCAGUGCUCCAGCGUUAAAUCACCUAAGUGAAGCCAGGUGACACUUAUCAUCUGAGGCCAUCGAGAAAUGAGCUAUAUUUUCUUUACCUUCUCUGUGGGAACAAAAGCCUCCCUGCAACAGAGACAGCUAAGCUCUUUUUUUAGAAGACAGUCAGCCCAUCAUCUCACUCACCAUCACAGCAUUUGCUGUGAAAUCCUCCUUUCCUUUCCAUGCUGCAGAGCUGUCCUUCAGCUACUCAGCUGGCUUUCUGAUUCUUUUUGUUUAAUUAAGUUCAUGAUCUCCAGAGUCGGGGGAGGGGUGUGUGUGUGUGUGUGUGUAAGAUUCUUAGAAAAAAAAGCCAAAUGCAAGCUGGUAAUGUGAUAUUUUCUCUGCAGAAGUGAAGGGUUGAAAACCAUAGGUGUGAAAGGUGUGAAUUGCUCUGUUUAUUUCUUUAUUUUUUUCACUGUGAGAAAGGCUGCUUAUCUGCUGAGCUGCUGAACAUAGGAUAAGAUUUGUUAGAAUGAUCAGCCAGCUCAACCCUCAGGUCACACAACCCUUUACGGUGAUUUACAACUUUUUGACCCAUCAGCUGGACCAGGGCCACCUCCUCAUUCUGCUCCUAGCUCCUACCAGACAUGUUCGUGUAAAGCUCCUUCUCUGCAGUACCCACCGCCGCACAGACGGCUUGUGUAGGUACACACAGGUAAUUCUUCACACUGGCAUUGAAGAAUGUCACCUGGUGGCCCUCAUCCAAAAUGAGGAUUUUUCACCCUUGACCAGGCUAGUGUAAGGGAGACCAUGGAGCCCUUCAUCUAGAAGCACCAUGACUGGAACCAACAGACCCCUGAAACACCUCACCAUGUGGUAGGGGCUGCAACAUGGAUACCACAACCCUCUUUUGAAACUGCAAUGACGAACAUAGGAUCUGCAGGGCUCGAAAGAGGCAGGACAUGAGGAGAUGAGCUACCAUGGCUUACUGACUCCUCACAUAUCAGCUGAGCUACGCUACCUGAUCAUGUACUGCACUUGUCGUGUCACAAAUGCCACAUCAAAUGUGUGAAUUUAACCCUGUUUUGAAGAGCGGCGCAUUUCCCCUGGCACUGGCAAGAGGCUGGGAGUGCACAUGAGCCGAGUCUGGAGGGAAGAGAAAUGGAAGGUGAAAGCUGGGGGUAGAAGGGUGAGGUGUGAGCUGUGAACCUUCACAGGGAAGGAGCUAUCAAAGGAACACACACCUCCCUUACCCCAGCACCACCGUCAGACCCAGCUGCUGAUUCACCUCCCUGCUGGGUGCCCAUAACCACAGCCCAGGAGCAGCAUCCCCCCCCAGGCUACCGAUGGGUCUCCUGCCCCAGGCAAACCCUGACUUCAUUUUCUAGGGACCAGAUGGUAGCUGCUGGAGCAAGUGUUCACCCAGCCAGGAAAAGAGAGCUUUUCCCUUUGCUUUUAAGUCCAUCUCCCCUAGUUGUGAUUCAGCCGCCUGGAUUCAUCGAUGAAGUCAUCUGCUGAUUUAACAGUGUUUGUGAAUUUAAAUUGGCAUCUACAGCGCACGCGUGCGCACACUUUUCUCUCCAGUCGCCCUCAGCGCAGCCACGCAGGCAGUAUCACCAUACCCAAGUGCCGCUUUUACGCUGACUUUUUCAAGUGGGAAGAGGCUUUGGUUUCUUGUCGCCAUCCGCUCACUGCUAAUAGUAGCAUUGCUCUGUCCCUCGCUAUCUUCGUACAACAGCUUAACGCAUAAAACUUAACGUCCCACAAGGAAACACGCACCAGCACGGGCCCAUCUCAUCUGGAUUAAAGAUGUCUUUUGGUUCAGUCUCUUUCAUAAGGCGAGGGAGAACUUACAUUACCCAGAGCUCGGCGGCAGAUCCAUGUGUGUGUUUUUCACCAGGCUGUCACUUGGACUGUUUCGCAUUACAAGCCUUCAGUCUCGCUCUGGCUGUCGAUUUGUGCUAUUAAGCUCUGAAAUACAGAACUCACGUGCCAGGUUUCCAUUUUUCUUCAACAGCCGGCAUCCACCGACAGCCACUAGGUAGGGUCAGACUUUGGCAAACCUGGAGGACAGUUCUCCUGCCUCUUCACUGCCCACCUCCACAAGCCUGCCACCUUAACCGCUCCAUGCCAUGCCCUCUGCCGCUGGCGUGCCUGCGCAGGGGUGCAGCUGCCGGCCGCCCCGAUCACAGCAAUGGCGGCAGGAGGAGAGCCCAGGCCGAGCAGUGACAUCUGAAGUACAUCAGUGUUUUUAUCUUCUCAGUAUUUUGAUUAGCCCAAGGGAUGUUUGGGUUAAAAAAAAAAACAACACAUUUUUUUAAAAACCACGUGAUGGUCUCACAGGCAGUUACGGUUUUAUGUAAUAUUGAACAGCUCUGUAUGGUUUGCCGCGUAACCGAGAGCAUCGGUGUGAUACCGUGUAUUUAUCAAUGAGUGGUUUCACGAGGCAGAGGGGUCGUACCUCGCUGUAACAUGCUCGGGGCAGCCCAUGAGAGUCCCUGUCCUGCCCGGUCAUCAGCACCGAUCGCUCCUACUGCAGUGCUAACGUGGAACAUGUCUGCAGAUUAAAAAUCCUGAAAUCUGAA
Long non-coding RNA from Falco peregrinus (peregrine falcon), 5991 nucleotides. RefSeq lists it as uncharacterized. The record is from RefSeq and is a predicted model, not a curated record. The transcript has 3 exons. NCBI's taxonomy places the organism in Eukaryota, Metazoa, Chordata, Aves, Falconiformes, Falconidae.